RNAcentral lists this ribosomal RNA (312 nucleotides) under uncultured eukaryote. RNAcentral's name for it is "partial 18S ribosomal RNA". It matches the Rfam family "Eukaryotic small subunit ribosomal RNA", at positions 1470 to 1796 of the family's 1831-position model. The record is from RNAcentral.
CCCUUAGAUGUUCUGGGCCGCACGCGCGCUACACUGAUGCAUUCAACGAGUUUCUUCCUGGUCCGAGAGGAAUGGGUAACCUUUUGAAAGUGCAUCGUGAUAGGGAUAGACUAUUGCAAUUAUUGGUCUUCAACGAGGAAUUCCUAGUAGACGUAGUUCAUCAGACUGCAUCGAUUACGUCCCUGCCCUUUGUACACACCGCCCGUCGCUCCUACCGAUUGGGUGAGCCGAUGAAACUCUCGGAUGUAGGCUAUUCAUAGCCCGCAGAAGAGAUUUGAAUCGUAGCGCUUAGAGGAAGGAGAAGUCGUAACA